AUCUUCCAAUCAUCAAGGAUGUAUUGGAGAUUGCUAAUGUAUUAAACAGCAAAUGGAAGAGGCAAGUGGAAUUAAUGUACAUAAUCACCUAUGACAUUCUUUUCGGACAGGAUUCAUCUCUAACAGGAGAUCCAGAAAAGUACCUUAUUUUGAGGAAAAGUCAACUACAGUCAGCUCUUGCAAAGAUCUUAUUAAAGAUGGGAGCAAAACGUAUAGAAGAUUUAAUGUCCCAAUAUAAGAUUCCCGCAGAUGUUAAAAAACCUCGCUAUGUUCGUGUCAAUACUCUGAAAUUGGAUGUUGAAAC
Lactuca sativa (garden lettuce) is the source of this 304-nucleotide RNA transcript. RefSeq lists it as uncharacterized. The record is from RefSeq and is a predicted model, not a curated record. NCBI's taxonomy places the organism in Eukaryota, Viridiplantae, Streptophyta, Magnoliopsida, Asterales, Asteraceae.